GAUAAACGCUGGCGGCGCACAUAAGACAUGCAAGUCGAACGGAAGUCGUUAUAAUGAAACAGAAAUGGAAUUGAAGAUUUAUCGGAUAGGAAGUAGAAGAAGAUUUAUAACAAUGGCUUUAGUGGCGGACUGGUGAGUAACACGUAAGGAACCUGCCUAUCAGAGGGGGAAUAACAGUGAGAAAUCAUUGCUAAUACCGCAUAAGCUAGUAGGAUCGCAUGAUCUAGCUAGAAAAGGAGUAAUCCGCUGAUAGAUGGCCUUGCGCCUGAUUAGCUAGUUGGUGGGGGUAAUGGCCUACCAAGGCGACGAUCAGUAGCCGGACUGAGAGGUUGAACGGCCACAUUGGGACUGAGAUACGGCCCAGACUCC
This 369-nucleotide ribosomal RNA is filed under the name uncultured Oscillospiraceae bacterium. RNAcentral's name for it is "bacterial SSU rRNA". It matches the Rfam family "Bacterial small subunit ribosomal RNA", at positions 28 to 339 of the family's 1533-position model. Lineage: Bacteria; Bacillati; Bacillota; Clostridia; Eubacteriales; Oscillospiraceae. The record is from RNAcentral.